GGUUAAGCGACUAAGCGUACACGGUGGAUGCCUAGGCAGUCAGAGGCGAUGAAGGGCGUGCUAAUCUGCGAAAAGCGUCGGUAAGGUGAUAUGAACCGUUACAACCGACGAUACCCGAAUGGGGAAACCCAGUGCAAUUCGUUGCACUAUUGCAUGGUGAAUACAUAGCCAUGCAAGGCGAACCGGGGGAACUGAAACAUCUAAGUACCCCGAGGAAAAGAAAUCAACCGAGAUUCCCCUAGUAGCGGCGAGCGAACGGGGAGGAGCCCAGAGUCUGAAUCAGUUUGUGUGUUAGUGGAAGCGUCUGGAAAGUCGCACGGUACAGGGUGAUAGUCCCGUACACAAAAACACACUUGCUGUGAACUCGAUGAGUAGGGCGGGACACGUGACAUCCUGUCUGAAUAUGGGGGGACCAUCCUCCAAGGCUAAAUACUCCUGACUGACCGAUAGUGAACCAGUACCGUGAGGGAAAGGCGAAAAGAACCCCGGCGAGGGGAGUGAAAUAGAACCUGAAACCGUGUACGUACAAGCAGUGGGAGCACCUUCGUGGUGUGACUGCGUACCUUUUGUAUAAUGGGUCAGCGACUUAUAUUUUGUAGCAAGGUUAACCGAAUAGGGGAGCCGUAGGGAAACCGAGUCUUAACUGGGCGUCUAGUUGCAAGGUAUAGACCCGAAACCCGGUGAUCUAGCCAUGGGCAGGUUGAAGGUUGGGUAACACUAACUGGAGGACCGAACCGACUAAUGUUGAAAAAUUAGCGGAUGACUUGUGGCUGGGGGUGAAAGGCCAAUCAAACCGGGAGAUAGCUGGUUCUCCCCGAAAGCUAUUUAGGUAGCGCCUCGUGAACUCAUCUUCGGGGGUAGAGCACUGUUUCGGCUAGGGGGUCAUCCCGACUUACCAAACCGAUGCAAACUCCGAAUACCGAAGAAUGUUAUCACGGGAGACACACGGCGGGUGCUAACGUCCGUCGUGAAGAGGGAAACAACCCAGACCGCCAGCUAAGGUCCCAAAGUCAUGGUUAAGUGGGAAACGAUGUGGGAAGGCAUAGACAGCCAGGAUGUUGGCUUAGAAGCAGCCAUCAUUUAAAGAAAGCGUAAUAGCUCACUGGUCGAGUCGGCCUGCGCGGAAGAUGUAACGGGGCUAAACCAUGCACCGAAGCUGCGGCAGCGACACUUAGGUGUUGUUGGGUAGGGGAGCGUUCUGUAAGCCGUUGAAGGUGACCUGUGAGGGUUGCUGGAGGUAUCAGAAGUGCGAAUGCUGACAUAAGUAACGAUAAUGCGGGUGAAAAACCCGCACGCCGGAAGACCAAGGGUUCCUGUCCAACGUUAAUCGGGGCAGGGUGAGUCGACCCCUAAGGCGAGGCUGAAAAGCGUAGUCGAUGGGAAACAGGUUAAUAUUCCUGUACUUGGUGUUACUGCGAAGGGGGGACGGAGAAGGCUAGGCUAGCCGGGCGACGGUUGUCCCGGUUUAAGCAUGUAGGCGGAG
Molecule: ribosomal RNA, 1483 nt
Filed under: Yersinia kristensenii
Lineage: Bacteria; Pseudomonadati; Pseudomonadota; Gammaproteobacteria; Enterobacterales; Yersiniaceae
Description: partial 23S ribosomal RNA
Rfam family: Bacterial large subunit ribosomal RNA
Source: RNAcentral